Molecule: ribosomal RNA, 578 nt
Filed under: Magnaporthiopsis incrustans
Lineage: Eukaryota; Fungi; Ascomycota; Sordariomycetes; Magnaporthales; Magnaporthaceae
Description: SSU rRNA
Rfam family: Eukaryotic small subunit ribosomal RNA
Source: RNAcentral
AUUAGCCAUGCAUGUCUAAGUAUAAGCAAUUAUACAGCGAAACUGCGAAUGGCUCAUUAAAUCAGUUAUCGUUUAUUUGAUAGUACCUUACUACAUGGAUAACCGUGGUAAUUCUAGAGCUAAUACAUGCUGAAAACCCCGACUUCGGAAGGGGUGUAUUUAUUAGAUUAAAAGCCAAUGCCCUUCGGGGCUCACUGGUGAUUCAUGAUAACUUCUCGAAUCGCACGGCCUUGCGCCGGCGAUGGUUCAUUCAAAUUUCUGCCCUAUCAACUUUCGACGGCUGGGUCUUGGCCAGCCGUGGUGACAACGGGUAACGGAGGGUUAGGGCUCGACCCCGGAGAAAACGCCUGAGAAACGGCGUUUACAUCCAAGGAAGGCAGCAGGCGCGCAAAUUACCCAAUGCCGACACGGCGAGGUAGUGACGAGAAAUACUGAUACAGGGCUCUUUUGGGUCUUGUAAUUGGAAUGAGUACAAUUUAAAUCUCUUAACGAGGAACAAUUGGAGGGCAAGUCUGGUGCCAGCAGCCGCGGUAAUUCCAGCUCCAAUAGCGUAUAUUAAAGUUGUUGCAGUUAAAAAG